UACGUAGGAGGCGAGCGUUGUCCGGAGUUACUGGGCGUAAAGGGUGCGCAGGCGGGUCUCUUGGUUUGCGGUGAAAGCUCCUGGCUCAACUGGGAGAGGGCCGUGAAGACGGGAGGCCUUGAGGCUCGGAGAGGGACGUGGAAUUCCGGGUGGAGCGGUGAAAUGCGUAGAGAUCCGGAAGAACACCAAGGGCGAAGGCAGCGUCCUGGCCGAGGCCUGACGCUCAGGCACGAAAGCGCGGGGAGCAAACAGG
Molecule: ribosomal RNA, 253 nt
Filed under: uncultured bacterium
Lineage: Bacteria
Description: partial 16S ribosomal RNA
Rfam family: Bacterial small subunit ribosomal RNA
Source: RNAcentral